UUGGUGCCAUGGUGCCCAGCCCCGGUGCUCCCGGUGCCAUGGUGCCCAGGGGUGCCCAGCCCCGGUGCUUUCGGUGCCAUGGUGCCCAGCCCCGGUGCUUUCGGUGCCAUGGUGCCCUGGGGUGCCCAGCCCCGGUGCUUUCGGUGCCAUGGUGCCCAGGGGUCCCCAGCCCCGGUGCUAUCGGUGCCAUGGUGCCCAGCCUCGGUGCUUUCGGUGUCAGGGUGCCCAGGGGUGCCCAGCCCCGGUGCUUUCAGUGCCAUGGUGCCCAGGGGUGCCCAGUCCCGGUGCUUUUGGUGCCAUGGUGCCCAGGGGUGCCCAGCCCCGGUGCUUUCGGUGCCUAGGGGUGCCCAUCCCCGGUGCUUUCAGUGCCAUGGUGCCCAGGGGUGCCCAGCCCUGGUGCUUUUGGUGCCAUGGUGCCCAGGGGUACCCAGCCCUGGUGCUAUCGGUGCCAUGGUGCCCAGGGGUGCCCAGCCCCGGUGAUUUCGGUGCCAUGGUGCCCAGGGGUGCCCAUCCCCGGUGCUAUCGGUGCCAUGGUGCCCAGCACCGGGGAUUUCAGUGUCAGGGUGCCCAGGGGUGUCCAGCCCCGGUGCUCCCAGUGUCAUGGUGCCCAGGGGUGCCCAGCCCCGGUGCUUUCGGUGCCAUGGCGCCCAGCCCCGGUGCUCCCGGUGCCAUGGUGCCCAGGGGUGCCCAGCCCCGGUGCUUUCAGUGCCAUGGUGCCCAGCCCCGGUCCUUUCAGUGCCAUGGUGCCCAGGGGUACCCAGCCCUGGUGCUUUCGGUGUCAGGGUGCCCAGGGGUGCCCAGCCCCGGUGCUAUCGGUGCCCAGCCCCGGUGCUCCCGGUGCCAUGGUGCCCAGGGGUACCCAGCCCCAGUCCUUUCAGUGCCAUGGUGCCCAGGGGUACCCAGCCCCGGUGCUAUCGGUGCCAUGGUGCCCAGCCCCGGUCCUUUCAGUGCCAUGGUGCCCAGGGGUGCCCAGCCCCGGUGCUUUCAGUGCCAUGGUGCCCAGGGGUGCCCAGCCCUGGUGCUAUCGGUGCCAUGGUGCCCAGCCCCGGUGCUUUUGGUGCCAUGGUGCCCAGGGGUGCCCAACCCCGGUGUUAUCGGUGCCAUGGUGCCCAGCCCCGGUGCUUUCGGUGCCAUAGAGCCCAGGGGUACCCAGCCCCGGUGCUUUCGGUGCCAUGGUGCCCAGCCCCGGUUCUCCCAGUGCCGUGUUGCCGCGGCGCCGGGUGCUCACUCACUCGGUAGCGGUUGGCGCUGAUCUGCUGCACCUGGAAGCGCUUGGCGCAGUUGCAUUGGGCCACCUGCCUGUUCACCUUGGGGUGGGGGGGGGCAAGGCGUGGGUCAGCCCAGCC
Molecule: long non-coding RNA, 1346 nt
Filed under: Numida meleagris (helmeted guineafowl)
Lineage: Eukaryota; Metazoa; Chordata; Aves; Galliformes; Numididae
Description: lncRNA (ENSNMEG00000002069.1)
Source: RNAcentral